CUCCAUUAUGGAAUGUGCUCAUCCUUGGUUUUCAUCACAGUCUGCCCAUAGGAGUCUUUGUCCUGUCCUGCCUCAAGUCAGUGCCACACAAUUGGACCUUUCACAAUUGGACACAAGGAAUGAUUUAUCAAAUUGGAGAGGUGGCAAAAAACUGACAACUCUGCCAACUAGGAGCGAAUCAUUGAGAUGGCAUUUUAGCAGUGUUGGCCUAUCUUUCUCAUUUUUGUGAACCACCUGGUUCUACACAUAGUGGAGACCCAUGCUUCUAGACUCUACACUGUAAAGGGAUCAAGCAGAGAUUGGUCUUUGCUCCAUCACUGCCAGGACUGCCUGAUCACCAGUUCCUGAUCAGCACUCUUUCCAGUUUGGAGGCAUAUAGUGUUAAUCCUUGGGAUUGAAUCUGCUCAGCUUCUGUCUUCAGUACUGCUCCUAAUGUCUGGGUGCAGGCUUCACACCCAGUGCAGGGCUUGAACUCACAACCCUGAGAUCAAGACCUGAGCUGAUAUCAAGAGUCACAUGUUUAACUGAAGGAGCCACCCAGGCACCCGUCCCACCACCUUUCGAUUUGUAGUUUCUU
Molecule: long non-coding RNA, 577 nt
Organism: Felis catus (domestic cat)
Lineage: Eukaryota; Metazoa; Chordata; Mammalia; Carnivora; Felidae
Exons: 4
Source: RefSeq, a predicted model, not a curated record